Non-coding RNA from Acanthosepion pharaonis, 108 nucleotides. NCBI's taxonomy places the organism in Eukaryota, Metazoa, Mollusca, Cephalopoda, Sepiida, Sepiidae. The record is from the annotation of a GenBank genome assembly.
CCAUAGCACAUUGAAACACUGGUUCUCAUACAAUCACUGAAGUUAAGCAACUUUAUACCAAGUCAGUACCUAGAUGGGUGACCACUUGAAAAAUACCAGGUGCUGUAA